This is a small nuclear RNA of Alexandromys fortis (reed vole), 102 nucleotides long. The record is from RefSeq and is a predicted model, not a curated record. Lineage: Eukaryota; Metazoa; Chordata; Mammalia; Rodentia; Cricetidae.
GUGUUCACUUCAGCAGCACAUAUACUAAAACUGGAACAAUACAGAGAUUAGCAUGGCCCAUGUACAAGGAUGACAUUCAAAUUUGUUGUGUUCCAUAUUUAA